This 503-nucleotide ribosomal RNA is filed under the name uncultured bacterium. RNAcentral's name for it is "bacterial SSU rRNA". It matches the Rfam family "Bacterial small subunit ribosomal RNA", at positions 31 to 518 of the family's 1533-position model. The record is from RNAcentral.
GAACGCUGGCGGCGUGCUAACACAUGCAAGUCGAACGCGAAAGGGGACUUCGGUCCUGAGUAAAGUGGCGCACGGGUGAGUAACGCGUGGAUAAUCUGCCCUUAUGAUCGGGAUAACAGUUGGAAACGGCUGCUAAUACCGGAUACGCUCAAAAUGAACUUUUUGAGGAAAGAUGGCCUCUGCUUGCAUGCUAUCACGUAAGGAUGAGUCCGCGUCCCAUUAGCUUGUUGGCGGGUAACGGCCACCAAGGCAACGAUGGGUAGCCGAUUUGAGAGGAUGAUCGGCCACACUGGAACUGAAACACGGUCCAGACUCCUACGGGAGGCAGCAGUGGGGAAUAUUGCGCAAUGGGCGAAAGCCUGACGCAGCGACGCCGCGUGAGGGAUGAAAGGUUUUCGGAUCGUAAACCUCUGUCAGAAGGGAAGAAACUACGUUGUGCUAAUCAGCAGCGUACUGACGGUACCUUCAAAGGAAGCACCGGCUAACUCCGUGCCAGCAGCUGC